AACCUGCCCCAUAGUCUGGGAUACCACUUGGAAACAGGUGCUAAUACCGGAUAAGAAAGCAGAUCGCAUGAUCAGCUUUUAAAAGGCGGCGUAAGCUGUCGCUAUGGGAUGGCCCCGCGGUGCAUUAGCUAGUUGGUAAGGUAAAGGCUUACCAAGGCGAUGAUGCAUAGCCGAGUUGAGAGACUGAUCGGCCACAUUGGGACUGAGACACGGCCCAAACUCCUACGGGAGGCAGCAGCA
Molecule: ribosomal RNA, 240 nt
Filed under: uncultured Lactobacillus sp.
Lineage: Bacteria; Bacillati; Bacillota; Bacilli; Lactobacillales; Lactobacillaceae
Description: partial 16S ribosomal RNA
Rfam family: Bacterial small subunit ribosomal RNA
Source: RNAcentral